UUUUUUUUUUUUUUUUUUUUUUUUAAAGUAGACCCUAUGGCACCUGGGUGGUUCAGUCAAGUAAGAGCCUCAGUCAGCAUCUGCCUUCAGCUUAGGUUGUGAUCCUAAGCACCUGGGAUGGAGCCUCCCCUUACCCCCUACUGUUGCAUCAGACUCUCAGCUCAAUGGGGAGCUGGCUUCUCCCUCUGUCUGCCCCUCCCACCAACUUGUGUUCUCUCUCUCUCUCUCUCUCUCUCUCUCAAAUAAAUAAGUAAAAUCUUUAAAAAAUAAUAAAAUAAAAUAAAGUAGGCUCCAAGCCUACUCACGUUCUUGAACUCAUGACACUGAGAUCAAGACCUGAGCUGAAAUCAAGAGUUGAAAACCUGGGUGGCUCACUGGCUGAGUGUCUGCCUUCAGCUCAGGACCUGGUCACUUAGGGCCUGAUUCUGGGAUCGAGUUCCCCAUCAGGCUCCCCAUGGGUAGCCUGCUUCUCCCUCUACCUAUGUCUCUACCUCUCUGUGUCUCUCAUGAAUAAAUAAACAAAAUAUUAAAAAAAAAAAAAAAAAAAGGUUAGAUGCUUAACCAACUGAGCCACUCAUGUACUCCCAGUAGAGGUUCAUCUAAUUGGGGGGUGAGGGGAAUGUGGGUAGGUUCUAGUCAGUAGGUUAUAUCAAAAUAUAGUAAAUAUUAUCUUUGACAUGAACCAUACUGAGACAGAUAAAUGGUCUCUCAACAAGUCCAACACAGACAGUUUGACUGCCAGCACUAAAGUAGAUGUCAUUCACGUAAUGGAGUUCCAGAUACUCAUAGCUGGCCUGCAUUUAGGAACUAUGAUAUACAAAAAAAUAUUUAUAUUAAGACAUAAGAGCCACACCAUGAGAGCUACCCAGGAACAGAGAGUAUCUGACUGCUGUAUCCUGCCUAUAAAUAACUUCACUGAAUGAAUGGUGGUUACUGAAAUUGUUUUUCCUUUCCCAGUUCCAAUUUUUCCAACGUAAAUAAUUGAAUUUCAGUGGGCUAAAAUCACAAAAGAUGAAACAGCACUUUAUGUACAUCCUUUCUCCCUAAGUAAAUUAUGCCUCCUUGAGGAUAUUAUGGGCUAUGCAUUUCAUUUCUGAGCACUUUAAAUUGUUUCUAGUUACUAAGAAAUAGAUGUCAGCCCGAUUCUGGUUCUCAAUUCAGUGACCAAUUUACUUAACUAGUCACUACUGCCUAAUAUGUGACUAUGAGCACAUCACAAUAGUAAGAAAUAUGAAAAAAUAAGUGAUUUUUACUCGUUUCCAUGGGUAACUACAGGAUUACUUUCAGGUCUCUUGUGAAGUCCUGACAUUAACAAAUACAGAAAGCAGCAUGCAUUUUUACCCAGGUAGAUGUAAUUAAUUUAGUUGGUACCUCUGGACUUAAGCUGAAACAUAUAAAAUGCUACCUACUAAGAAUAAAAUAUUUGCAAUAAACUGCAAAAAAAUUUGACCUAUUUCACAAAAAGUGUCUCGCAUUAAAGUGAGAAAGGUCAAAUUCAAGAUACUAUGUCAACAGAAUACUCCAUGAAAAGCAACAACCCAAAAACCCCAAAUACUGGAAAGUUCCUAUUCUGUCUAGGACCCUGGCAUACCUUAUGCCUACCGUCCCAUUUCACACAUGGUACAAAAGCACUUACAAAUUCUUUAAACCAAUUCUUGUUUGAAUUCUGACAGUACACCUAUGAAUAGUCUUUCUGGAAAGGGAAGGGAAAGAAAGCUUUCACCUAACUGGCCAAAGUAUUGCAUGUUCUCUUCCUGGACCGGCUGUUUACACAGCCCUUCCCUAACCCUUCAAAUUCCUACUUCAAAUCCCCAAGGUAUGAUUAUAGAUAAGAAUUAUUUUCUCAAUAAGCUGCUGAAAAUAUUAAUGACAAUGCAUAAGAAGUUAAUGCUAAGGUACUUAGGCCACAAUGGAGAAAAUCUUGAGACUUUACUGAGGACUAAAUUGUGUCACAGUGCUCCAUUUCUCUUAACUUCAUUUGAAAGCCUUCUUUAAAACUGCCUCCUCUUUUUGAUGUUGUUACUAUCCACCCCCUAAAGACACACUUCCUUUUGCUCUACAGUAACCCCUCUUUUAAAGAGAUUUGACCCACAACUCUACCUGUUACUGUUACCUGGCCAUACCCUAUUUCUUCCAGUAUGCUACACUAACCCAUAAAAGAAGAAACACAUCAUCCUGUGACUUAUAGGCUGCUCCCCAAUAUUCUUCAGAUGCUCAAAAUGGGCUUUGCUCUUUCAUAUGUUGCCACAAUAGUUCAUGUCAACAGUAAUCCUUUCCCCAAGGAAGUCCAAAAGUAUGUUUCAAUAACCAUGUCAUCAUGGAAACUAGAAAAAGUAUGGAUCCUCUCUAAACUCAGACACUGGAUAGCCCUCUAUUUCUACUCAUUUCCACCUUUAAUUUAUCUCAAAACACAUCAUCAUACCACAUCAUCAUACAAGAAAUAAUUGUGUGGGGGAUCCCUGGAUGGCUCAGCAGUUGAGCGCCUGCCUUCAGCUCAGGGCAUGACCCUGCAGCCCCAGAACUGAGUCCCACAUUGGGCUCUUUGUGUGGAGCCUGCUUCUCCUUCUGCCUGUGUCUCUGCCUCUCUCUCUCUCUCUCUCCUCUGUCACUUAUGAAUAAAUAAAUAAAAAAAAUUUUUUUAAAAAAAGAAAGAAUUAUGUGGACGUCUUAAAGGUUUUCUUCUAGCACAUCUCUUGCAAGUAAAUGGUCAUCACAACAUUGUAAAUAAGGAAAAUGAAAUGAAUUUCAUUAUCUUAGUGGAGUAAUAAUGAAGUUAGGAAAAGUCUAACUCCUGAAAAUGAAGACCUUAUACAUUUGUGUAUGACUUUUUUUUUUUUUAAUCUUUCCUUUUCAUACUUUUAUUAAGUAGGCUCCACGCCCAGCAUAGGGCUUGUUCUCAUGAGCCUGAGAUCAAGACCUGAACUGAGAUCAAGAGUCAGAUGCUUAGGGAUCCCUGGGUGGCGCAGUGGUUUAGCGCCUGCCUUUGGCCCAGGGUGCGAUUCUGGAGUCCCGGGAUUGAGUCCCACGUCGGGCUCCCUGCAUGGAGCCUGCUUCUCCCUCUGCCUCUCUCUCUCUCUCUCUCUCUCUCUCUCUCUCUCUGUGGCUAUCAUGAAUAAAUAAAUAAAUAAAAACAAUAAUAAACAAAAAAAAAAAGAGUCAGAUGCUUAGCUGACUGAGCCACCCACGUGCCUCAUAUUAUUUUAUUUUAUUUAAAAUAAAAUCGAGCCCUACGGGAGACUGGAUCCCGUGGCUGCAGGAUCAGGACCUGGGCUGAAGGCGGUGCUAAACCGCUGAGCUCCCCGGGCUGCCCCACCCCCAUAUAUUUUAAAUGGUAUUUCUAUUAUUAGUGAAAUUCAGUACUAAUGUAAUUAUAAAUAGCGGCUAUACAUUUUCUUUUUGUCUUUAUGGAUAUUUCUAUUAUUGGCAGUUUAGCCAGUCUAUCCUCUUUAUUCAUCCAAAGUAACUAAAAGAAGUAAAAGUGUUAAUUGGGUCAGUCAUCAAAUUCCCUUUGAAAGCUAGUUCUUCAUCAAUAAACUGAGAAAAGGGAAACACAGGUGUCCUCUUGCUCAAUGUUCUUAGUAGGUAUGACCAUGCAUUAUGUUUCAAAACAGAAACAAAAACAAAAAACAUUUACAA
Molecule: long non-coding RNA, 3636 nt
Filed under: Canis lupus familiaris (dog)
Lineage: Eukaryota; Metazoa; Chordata; Mammalia; Carnivora; Canidae
Description: lncRNA (ENSCAFG00845028467.1)
Source: RNAcentral